This 425-nucleotide ribosomal RNA is filed under the name uncultured bacterium. Its description in RNAcentral is "partial 16S ribosomal RNA". It matches the Rfam family "Bacterial small subunit ribosomal RNA", at positions 354 to 796 of the family's 1533-position model. The record is from RNAcentral.
GUGGGGAAUCUUGCGCAAUGGGCGAAAGCCUGACGCAGCCAUGCCGCGUGAAUGAUGAAGGUCUUAGGAUUGUAAAAUUCUUUCACCGGGGACGAUAAUGACGGUACCCGGAGAAGAAGCUCCGGCUAACUUCGUGCCAGCAGCCGCGGUAAUACGAAGGGGGCUAGCGUUGCUCGGAUUUACUGGGCGUAAAGGGCGCGUAGGCGGACAUUUAAGUCAGGGGUGAAAUCCCGGGGCUCAACCUCGGAACUGCCUUUGAUACUGGGUGUCUUGAGUAUGAGAGAGGUGUGUGGAACUCCGAGUGUAGAGGUGAAAUUCGUAGAUAUUCGGAAGAACACCAGUGGCGAAGGCGACACACUGGCUCAUUACUGACGCUGAGGCGCGAAAGCGUGGGGAGCAAACAGGAUUAGAAACCCGAGUAGUCC